This 500-nucleotide ribosomal RNA is filed under the name uncultured bacterium. Its description in RNAcentral is "partial 16S ribosomal RNA". It matches the Rfam family "Bacterial small subunit ribosomal RNA", at positions 28 to 507 of the family's 1533-position model. The record is from RNAcentral.
GACGAACGCUGGCGGCGUGCCUAAUACAUGCAAGUCGUGCGGACCUUGUUGAAAGCUUGCUUUUAAAAGGUUAGCGGCGGACGGGUGAGUAACACGUGGGCAACCUGCCUGUAAGACUGGGAUAACGCCGGGAAACCGGGGCUAAUACCAGAUCGUUUUUUCCUCCGCAUGGAGGAAAAAGGAAAGGCGGCUUCGGCUGCCACUUACAGAUGGGCCCGCGGCGCAUUAGCUAGUUGGCGGGGUAAUGGCCCACCAAGGCAACGAUGCGUAGCCGACCUGAGAGGGUGAUCGGCCACAUUGGGACUGAGACACGGCCCAAACCCCUACGGGAGGCAGCAGUAGGGAAUCUUCCGCAAUGGACGAAAGUCUGACGGAGCAACGCCGCGUGAGUGAAGAAGGCCUUCGGGUCGUAAAACUCUGUUGCCGGGGAAGAACAAGUGCCGUUCGAACAGGGCGGCGCCUUGACGGUACCCGGCCAGAAAGCCACGGCUAACUACGUG